GGACAUGUGCAGCUGCACAACAGGAUGUCAAGCACUGAUUGGGUUUAAAAAGUGAAUGUGUGUUAAGUUAAAAGAUCAUAAGUAUGGGAUGAAAAAAUAAAAUACUUCUUUGUACUUCUCUAUGUUGUGCAACAUUAAUACAUAUGGUUGUAACCACUAGAGCUCAUGGCCUACAUUUUUCUGCAGGUUGUUUGAAAAGCAAAACAGCAACAAGAAGAAAAAUAAGUAUUUGUGUUGCAACAAAUGAGCGAUUUCUAUAUCUAUAACAGCAUUUGAGCUGUUAUAACAGAUCUCCAGAGAGGCACAUGGUUUACAACUACAUAUGGGAAGAAGGAAAUUUCAGCCAUGCUAAAUAACCUGAUUUACUAGAAUGACUUCAUCAAAAAUGUUAAGUACCACUUCAUAUAUCCAC
Molecule: non-coding RNA, 412 nt
Organism: Pogona vitticeps (central bearded dragon)
Lineage: Eukaryota; Metazoa; Chordata; Lepidosauria; Squamata; Agamidae
Source: RefSeq, a predicted model, not a curated record